GAAUCAGCAGACUGAUACUAAAGUCAAGUAUCAGUUAAACAUUCUUCCUCGGACUGAACCUCCAACGUUCAAAGGAAGCCACGUACUUCAAAAGUACAGCCGCAUUAAAUGCAGAGAUCUCAGGAUCAUCCUUUCUCUGCAGAGGUCAUUCCUAUUUGGUGACUACUUUAUCAGAGACGUCGCAUCUCCUGCUCUUCAACAUAGUCGUUCUCACCAAACAAGGAACCUCGAAGAUUGAAGCCUCAGCCCAAGUUCAAAUUACUCUCUAACAGAAGAAAUCUUGAAGACCUUCUCCGCCAACGGAUCUAUUCAAGACCUCUCCAAUAAAUAGCGCUCGAGGAUCACUUCAAUCUUCACCGAUUCAACAACACAAGCUGAAGCUCUGCCAAAAUUGCGUCUCAGCCCAAAGCUCAAAUUCCCAAAGCUUGAAUCGAAGAAGAGAAUCCCAAAGCCAAAAAUCAGUCACUGCUGAUUACAUAUAUUCUCUUAGACCUUAGGCAAACCUCUGUUUACCCAGAGCCUAGGUCAAAACUAACUCCAAAGAACUUGUUCUUUGAAGUUUAGUUGGCAAGAUUUCAAACCUCCCUUCGACCGAUAGAAUCGAGUGUUUGAGUUGCAAAGGAGUUCAGGAAGGUACUCUGUCUCCGUGAGAUCCUAGUGCCAGUUCGUGCUAGGAGUGAGAAAUCCAACAAGGUGUGUUGGUACUGAAGAUUGGAUCUUCAGUUGAUUCGGUUGUGUGCAAACACACGGAUUCGGUUUGCUGUGCACCCGUAAACACAACCAUCGGUUUGCAGUGCACCCGUAAGCACUUGCAGAGUGAAGUUAUUGGUCUGAUCAACCGACCGUAGAUGUAGGAAGUGUUUUCCGAACCACGUAAAAAUCUCUGUGUUAUUUACAACUUUUAGUUUUACUUUCCUACUUGUGUUCUUACUUUGAUAAAUUGAAUACUGAUUAAUUGCAAAGAGAAACUUAAGACUAACAACGUGCUCAACAAAGGCUAUUGCAAAACAAAAGUAUUUCCGCUGCGUAUGUUUUCAGUCUGACUGAUCUAUCCUCUGAUAGUCAGGAAGAUUUAUAAUAUCUCUGUUUUCAUCAAACUCGACUGAAGCCUUUACGUGCAUCAGUUAAGUUCUUGUGACUUAACUUAUAACUCCUUACUGAAGAGUCUUUCAGUAUCAGUCGUCAACCCUGUUUUGGUCAAAACUCUUUUCAAUAAACAGGUGUCAGAGUUUGUGUGUAAAGUUUCGCCUUGAUCUCUAUCUUGAGAUCCAUCUGAUUUUAAAAAUAGCCUAUAGGUGUAUUCCCCCCUCCCCCCAUACACAUAUUCGAGACCCUCCGGACCUAACAAAGGACUUUAGACAUCCUNAGGAUACGCACAUGACGAGUAAAAAAGGGGGCCCAACAUAUUGACUAUUAUCCAUAACCAAAUAUGCGACCGCACAAUGAAAAUCCUUGAACCUAUGACCGAAAGAAUUAUCCCAUAUCACACCAAGACUAUGCCCAAACCGGGUUCCUUUUAUUAGUGACUAUUUUCUUGUGUUUUCUAUUUCAGCAUUUACAUAGUGCCCAUAGAUAGAUUUCAAUUCUGUUUUGGCCACAGGUUGGCAAGUGACACCUUUGCCCAGAGACGAGCAACCAAAUAUAAAGCUUGUGACACGAGUACUGUGAUACACCAAUUCCCUGUGGGUUCGACCCUAUUACUUGCCAUUAAUACUAACCUUAAUUAGCAGGACAUAGGAAAUACAAUAUCAUUUGCCCGAAGUCUCACACGGGCUUCAGCAGAGUCGUAACUAGUGGUAAAAUAAAUCCACAUAAGCGUCAAAUUGGAUCUAUCUAAAUCUGCAUGCAUCUUGGGCAUAACACUUUAACUGAUAAGUUUCUGGAGUUAUACACUAAAGGAUGGAUUGUCUUUUGGCAGGAUAGUUAAUCUCUUUAACUGAUAAGUUUCUGGGGGUUAUACACUAAAAGGAUGGAUUGAUCAUAGGGCAGUUGCGUGCGUGACGUGUGACAAUUGGGGGCGUAGCUGUCUUGUGCCUAUAACCAGUUGGUAUGCGAGUGUAGUGAAACAUAUUUGAACCAAUGACCAAGUGCCUAGUUCAUGUUUAGUAAGUCAAACCCAAGUUAAAAUCAUUUGUUAUUUGAUCAAGUUACUUUUGUUAUUUCAGUUUAAUCUGAAACCUCGUUCUGCCCACAAGACAGUUAUGACCAGAAUAACCGGAAACCAAAAUUAUUUUUAGUGACACCCUUGCAAGAGAGAUUACACUCAGUUCCCUGUGGAUUCGACUAUGGACUUACUACUAGCUAACCUAGUUAUGGGCACUAGAUUUAUUUGCGCGAAACUCAAACGACGGCUUCGUCAACCACCAAGUUAAGAACAUGCGCUGGACACCACAUGUGAAUGUAACUAUCGCCCAUAACAUUAGUCUUCAUCGUGUCAAGGUAUGCACAGACAUGUCUAAUUUCCCCAUCGUUUGCAGUGGCAUUGUCAGUAGUGUAACAUAACACUUUCGCCAAUCCCCACUCCUUCAAUGACGUGACGACCGCUUCACCAAUACCAACCCCUUUAUGACUAAGGAUGGGGCAAAAAGUGACGAUCUUCUUGUGCAGAAUCCAAUCCCUACUAAUACAGUGUGCAGUAACACAAAUGAAAUUUAUGUUAUUCACUAAUGUCCAACAAUCUUUGGUUAUGGACACUUUAUCCAUGCCUUUUUUUUGUUUGACGUUGUUGGGAACUUAAUGGAAUAUCCUAAUCCUUGUUUUGAUGAUACCAAAAUCCAUAGGCUUUGAUUGUAAUAGACUAGAACUGUUCGAACUCAAGUGUUAGAGUUCUUUUCUAGUUUAGUUUGUUGUUCUGAAGACUGAAGACUGAAGAACGUAGGACUGAAGACUGAAGUUGCCAACUGAAGUAUCAGUUGAAGAAUCAGUCUUGAACUGAUUACUUAAUGCGUGCCACGUGGAAUCAGCAGACUGAUACUAAAGUCAAGUAUCAGUUAAACAUUCUUCCUCGGACUGAACCUCCAACGUUCAAAGGAAGCCACGUACUCCAAAAGUACAGCCGCAUUAAAUGCAGAGAUCUCAGGAUCAUCCUUUCUCUGCAGAGGUCAUUCCUAUUUGGUGACUACUUUAUCAGAGACGUCGCAUCUCCUGCUCUUCAACAUAGCCGU
Molecule: long non-coding RNA, 3164 nt
Filed under: Salvia miltiorrhiza (redroot sage)
Lineage: Eukaryota; Viridiplantae; Streptophyta; Magnoliopsida; Lamiales; Lamiaceae
Description: long non-coding RNA (SMIL_LNC001637)
Source: RNAcentral